Molecule: long non-coding RNA, 1329 nt
Filed under: Anas platyrhynchos platyrhynchos (common mallard)
Lineage: Eukaryota; Metazoa; Chordata; Aves; Anseriformes; Anatidae
Description: lncRNA (ENSAPLG00000024704.1)
Source: RNAcentral
AUUAAAUUUCAGCCUUCUGAAACAGUGGAUCAAUAUCUUGAUGUUUAGAGGAACAAGUCGUUUAGAAGUUGAGUAAUGGCCUAGCAGUCUCGAGAUGGGAAAAAGCCAAGAAAAAGCCUGUACUUCUACUAUAUAGCUGCUUCCUCUGGUUGGUAAAUGGUGGAAGAAGUUAGAGCUCAGGGGAAAAUGGGCUGCCCUACAGUGCACGGGAGCUCAAGCGCAGGAGCGGGCACUGGCUUUACCUUGUGAUCAGGGCAGGAAUUUUCCACAGGGUUUAGAAGGAAAAAGUCAGUGCCAAUCUUUCAACUCUAUUGAUCGCCUCUCUUGUAGUACUCCGAUGCGUUUUUUCCCCUUAGUUUGAUAAAGGCACUGCUGGAGCACGAGGAAUUCUGAUGAGCACACAUCCAGUAAGACAGGCAAGAUAUUGAAGGAACUUGAGCUGCGAGGCUGGUGCAGACGGAGCCAGCUGGCUCUUAGGCCUCCCUUUAAAAGUCAGCUUUCAAUGGCCGUUAGAGCAAAUUGAGAAGAUGUGUGUAAUGGCUUGGCAGGGCUCGACGCAGAAAGAAGGCUGGAUAGCGUAUGGACAAUGGGAGGUUAUUCUGAAAGCGUGGAAGGAGGAAAUUGAAGUGGUUGGAUUUUUCAGCUGUUCCUCUCCUGUUACGCGUUUGUUGAAAGGAAUCAGUGUUUUGCUUCUUGCACUCAUGCAGAAAAUAUUGCCAGAGGUUCAUUGCCUCGCAGUGUGCAAAGCCCACACCUGCCAGAAAUGCAUUUAAAGGGAAAUUGUAGCACGGGUCCCAUUUCAGCUUAUUAAGCCAGUGAGUACUAAUUAUGUUUUUUUUGUUUGUUUUGUGUUUUUUUUUAAUUAUUAUUUUUUAAAUGGAUUUCUAAACAAAAGCUUUUUAUUUAUUUAUUUUGCAAAAAAAUUGCAACCUGCUGCUGAAGGAAGCAGAGCUCAGGUAGUGCUUCUGCUACCCCAAAUGGGCAGGCUGUACAGCUGCCCCCACUGUGCCUGGUCCUGCUGCUUGCCCCGAGCCCUGGCACACCUCAUGCUCAUUUACUAAAGAUCAGCAGCACCCGAGCUGUGCGGGGAUCAGAGCUCACCUCUCCGCAAGACGUGUGUGCAGUGUUUUUCUAAGAAAUGAUCUCUAGAGGAGCUGCUAGCCAUAGCACUGGCUUUUCUCAAUUGGCUUUGUAAAUUUAGGACAUGCUUAGAAAUAUUUUACACACAGAGGUAACCAGCUCCUAUAAAGGAAGGAACCCACAGCUCAGAAAGAAGUACAAAAAUUAGGAAGAUGAUCAAAUAAAACAUCAGGCAUGGAGCUAUAAGCA